This 433-nucleotide ribosomal RNA is filed under the name uncultured bacterium. RNAcentral describes it as "partial 16S ribosomal RNA". It matches the Rfam family "Bacterial small subunit ribosomal RNA", at positions 29 to 507 of the family's 1533-position model. The record is from RNAcentral.
AACGAACGCUGGCGGCAUGCCUAACACAUGCAAGUCGAACGAGACCUUCGGGUCUAGUGGCGCACGUGUGCGUAACGCGUGGGAACCUGCCCUUAGGUUCGGAAUAACUCCCCGAAAGGGGUGCUAAUACCGGAUAAUGUCUUCGGACCAAAGAUUUAUCGCCUUUGGAUGGGCCCGCGUUGGAUUAGCUAGUUGGUAGGGUAAAAGCCUACCAAGGCGACGAUCCAUAGCUGGUCUGAGAGGAUGAUCAGCCACACUGGGACUGAGACACGGCCCAGACUCCGACGGGAGGCAGCAGUGGGGAAUAUUGGGCAAGGGGCGAAAGCCUGAUCCAGCAAUGCCGCGUGAGUGAUGAAGGCCUUAGGGUUGUAAAGCUCUUUUACCCGGGAUGAUAAUGACAGUACCGGGAGAAUAAGCUCCGGCUAACUCCGUG